AAGAGUUUGUUCGGGUUUCUCCAUAAGCUGUAUAGAAAAACCUCAAUGAACUCUUUGG
Molecule: microRNA precursor, 58 nt
Filed under: Bos taurus (domestic cattle)
Lineage: Eukaryota; Metazoa; Chordata; Mammalia; Artiodactyla; Bovidae
Description: Bta-Mir-2285-P11_pre stem-loop
Source: RNAcentral